AAACAGGACGUUUUCGCGUCCACAGAACAAAGAGUAAAUGGUUUUAG
RNAcentral lists this non-coding RNA (47 nucleotides) under Helianthus annuus (common sunflower). RNAcentral describes it as "sRNA HanXRQr2_Chr15g0674671". It matches the Rfam family "Histone 3' UTR stem-loop". From Rfam's summary of the family: The mRNAs of metazoan histone genes lack a poly-A tail. 3' end processing occurs at a site between a highly conserved stem-loop (modelled by this family) and a purine rich region around 20 nts downstream (the histone downstream element, or HDE). The record is from RNAcentral. Lineage: Eukaryota; Viridiplantae; Streptophyta; Magnoliopsida; Asterales; Asteraceae. RNAcentral also lists the same sequence under 1 other name.